RNAcentral lists this ribosomal RNA (506 nucleotides) under uncultured bacterium. Its description in RNAcentral is "partial 16S ribosomal RNA". It matches the Rfam family "Bacterial small subunit ribosomal RNA", at positions 28 to 523 of the family's 1533-position model. The record is from RNAcentral.
GAUGAACGCUAGCUACAGGCUUAACACAUGCAAGUCGAGGGGUAACGAGAGGAAAGCUUGCUUUCCUUGUCGACGACCGGCGCACGGGUGAGUAACGCGUAUCCAACCUGCCCCCAACUAGGGAAUAACCUUGCGAAAGUAAGACUAAUACCCUAUAAUUUCCUCAGAUGACAUCUGACGAGGAAUAAAGAUUUAUCGGUUGUGGAUGGGGAUGCGUCUGAUUAGCUUGUUGGCGGGGUAACGGCCCACCAAGGCAACGAGCAGUAGGGGUUCUGAGAGGAAGGUCCCCCACAUUGGAACUGAGACACGGUCCAAACUCCUACGGGAGGCAGCAGUGAGGAAUAUUGGUCAAUGGGCGGAAGCCUGAACCGGCCAAGUAGCGUGCAGGAUGACGGCCCUAUGGGUUGUAAACUGCUUUUAUACAGGAAUAAAGUUAGCCACGUGUGGUUAUUUGUAGGUACUGUAUGAAUAAGGACCGGCUAAUUCCGUGCCAGCCGCCGCCGUAA